GCUUAGCUCAGUUGGCUAGAGCAACUGACUCUUAAUCAGUGGGUCGAGGGUUCGAAUCCCUCAG
This 64-nucleotide transfer RNA is filed under the name bovine gut metagenome. It matches the Rfam family "tRNA", at positions 6 to 65 of the family's 71-position model. Rfam says of the family: Transfer RNA (tRNA) molecules are approximately 80 nucleotides in length. The record is from RNAcentral.